UUAAGUUCAGCGGGUAUCCCUACCUGAUCCGAGGUCAACCUUAAGAAAAUUGGUUAAAAAGACCGGGUUAAAGGGUCCGACUAAAUGCGUGCUAAUGAAAGCUCGUUGCAUCUAGGGGUCCAAAUAACGCCGUCAUUAUCUUUAGGGCCUGUCGGUUUCAACGACAAAGAGACCCAACAGAAGCCAGGCUUGAUUAGUGA
RNAcentral lists this unclassified non-coding RNA (200 nucleotides) under Herpotrichiellaceae sp. RNAcentral's name for it is "partial internal transcribed spacer 2". Lineage: Eukaryota; Fungi; Ascomycota; Eurotiomycetes; Chaetothyriales; Herpotrichiellaceae. The record is from RNAcentral.